GCUGAUAUAGCUCAGUAGGCAGAGCACAUCCUUGGUAAGGAUGAGGUCACCAGUUCGAAUCUGGUUAUCAGCU
This 73-nucleotide transfer RNA is filed under the name Eubacteriaceae bacterium CHKCI005. It matches the Rfam family "tRNA". Rfam says of the family: Transfer RNA (tRNA) molecules are approximately 80 nucleotides in length. Their secondary structure includes four short double-helical elements and three loops (D, anti-codon, and T loops). The record is from Rfam by way of RNAcentral. Lineage: Bacteria; Bacillati; Bacillota; Clostridia; Eubacteriales; Eubacteriaceae.